RNAcentral lists this antisense RNA (61 nucleotides) under Rhizobium mesoamericanum STM3625. RNAcentral's name for it is "ctRNA_p42d". The stretch from base 12 to 58 matches the Rfam family "ctRNA". Rfam says of the family: This family represents a group of ctRNAs (or counter-transcribed RNAs) from p42d and related plasmids. ctRNAs are small, highly structured, antisense sequences which are involved in negative regulation. Members of this family are known to bind to the mRNA of repC causing translational repression. Lineage: Bacteria; Pseudomonadati; Pseudomonadota; Alphaproteobacteria; Hyphomicrobiales; Rhizobiaceae. The record is from RNAcentral.
GCUAAAGAGACAGAAGGGCUUCCACGACGGCAACGCUGAGGGGGCUCUUUUCUUUUGCGGG